Molecule: small nuclear RNA, 295 nt
Filed under: Neogale vison (American mink)
Lineage: Eukaryota; Metazoa; Chordata; Mammalia; Carnivora; Mustelidae
Description: Neovison vison (American mink) 7SK RNA (ENSNVIG00000006164.1)
Rfam family: 7SK RNA
About the family: 7SK was discovered as an abundant small nuclear RNA in the mid-70s but a possible function has only recently been suggested. Two independent studies have found that 7SK RNA binds the CDK9/cyclin T complex (known as elongation factor P-TEFb). P-TEFb activates transcription by phosphorylating the C-terminal domain of RNA polymerase II.
Source: RNAcentral
GGAUGUGAGUGUGGUCUGGUGCGACAUCUCUCACCCCACUGAUCGUCAGGGUUGAUUCGGCUGAUCUGGCUGGCGAGGUGGGAGUCCCCUUCCUCCCUCACCACUCCACGUGCAUCCCUCCCGAAGCCGUGUGCUUGGUCAAAGACGAGACCUUCCCCGAUAGAGAAGUGGACCGUUCUGCGGUCAAGGGUAUACAAGUAGCUGCGCUCCCGGCUAGAGCCUCCAAACAAGCUCUCAAGGUCCAACACAGCAUAAACAGGUGGCAAGGCUGGAUUUGCCCCAUAGGCCAAAGUCU